AGCACCCGCGGUAAUUCCAGCUCCAAUAGCGUAUAUUAAAGUUGUUGCAGUUAAAAAGCUCGUAGUUGAAUUUCGGGAUCAAUAUGUCGGUCGUGCCUUCGGUACGUACGGGCAUCACUGGUUUCUCCCUUCUGACAAACCAUGAUGUCAUUAAUUCGGUGUUAUGGGGAGUUAGGACUGUUACUUUGAAAAAAUUAGAGUGUUUAAAGCAGGCAUUAGCUCGAAUACAUUAGCAUGGAAUAAUGAAAUAGGACGUUUGACCCUAUUUUGCUGGUUUCUAGGAUCGACGUAAUGAUUAAUAGGGAUAGUUGGGGGCAUUAGUAUUCAAUUGUCAGAGGUGAAAUUCUUGGAUUUAUUGAAGACUAAGUACUGCGAAAGCAUUUGCCAAGGAUGUUUUCAUUAAUCAAGAACGAAAGUUAGGGGAUCGAAGACGAUCAGAUACCGUCGUAGUCUUAACCAUAAACUAUGCCGACUAGGGAUCGGAAGAUGUUAAUUUUUUAAUGACUCA
This 508-nucleotide ribosomal RNA is filed under the name uncultured Glomus. Its description in RNAcentral is "SSU rRNA". It matches the Rfam family "Eukaryotic small subunit ribosomal RNA", at positions 569 to 1078 of the family's 1831-position model. Lineage: Eukaryota; Fungi; Glomeromycota; Glomeromycetes; Glomerales; Glomeraceae. The record is from RNAcentral.